UGGGGAAUAUUGGACAAUGGGCGAAAGCCUGAUCCAGCCAUGCCGCGUGUGUGAAGAAGGUCUUCGGAUUGUAAAGCACUUUAAGUUGGGAGGAAGGGCAGUAAGUUAAUACCUUGCUGUUUUGACGUUACCGACAGAAUAAGCACCGGCUAACUCUGUGCCAGCAGCCGCGGUAAUACAGAGGGUGCAAGUGUUAAUCGGAAUUACUGGGCGUAAAGCGCGCGUAGGUGGUUUGUUAAGUUGGAUGUGAAAGCCCCGGGCUCAACCUGGGAACUGCAUCCAAAACUGGCAAGCUAGAGUACGGUAGAGGGUGGUGGAAUUUCCUGUGUAGCGGUGAAAUGCGUAGAUAUAGGAAGGAACACCAGUGGCGAAGGCGACCACCUGGACUGAUACUGACACUGAGGUGCGAAAGCGUGGGGAGCAAACA
RNAcentral lists this ribosomal RNA (427 nucleotides) under uncultured bacterium. RNAcentral's name for it is "partial 16S ribosomal RNA". It matches the Rfam family "Bacterial small subunit ribosomal RNA", at positions 355 to 774 of the family's 1533-position model. The record is from RNAcentral.